Bos indicus x Bos taurus (hybrid cattle) is the source of this 2816-nucleotide long non-coding RNA. The record is from Ensembl. NCBI's taxonomy places the organism in Eukaryota, Metazoa, Chordata, Mammalia, Artiodactyla, Bovidae.
AUGCUGUUUCUGUGUUUGCUCUUCCUCAGAGGCUCCCACUGCUCCCUCCACAGCCAGGGGCAGGUCCUGCUCUCAGGCACCAGCAGGCACCCACGAUGUGGUCCUGUUCCCAGAAGCUCAGUCCCAGGGGCAGCCACGCUGGCCGCAGCAACACCCAAGACCCACUACCAUGCACAGCAGACCCAGCUGCGACAGUGGACCGGUGUGAGGCCAGACCUGCGGCGUGCACACCCGGAGGCUCCCCCCAAGCAGGUCCAGCCGACUGCAUGCCUCUCCUGGACCACACUGCCCUCGCCUGGAGCCCGCCGCCUUCCUGCUGAUCCCUUUCUUGGCUGCUCCGCACUGCAGCCCUUGCAGCAGCACUUGCCCUCUUGUCCCUUUGCUGGCUGCUCUGCACGGCAGCCAUUGCAGUGGCAUCCACAGGACAGUUCCUGGGAUCUGCAAGGGUUGCCCCCACCAGCCAGGGCCUGCUUAUCGGGGCUCAGCUCUGGCCACAGCUUCUCUCACAGCUGCAAACAAAGGACCUUCUCUCAGUCCCCAGACAUGCCUCUCGCCUCCCUGCCACGUCUGGCAUGGGGACCUCUGUUGGGAGCACUGGUUCCUCUCUGGCCCUGCACCAAUCUAAUUCCUCCUUAGCUACUAAUUAUCAGCUAAAUCAUUAUCCUCUUCAGUAAGGAUUCCCUGAUCCCGAGACAAAGUGAGGGGCCCCACUGUGUAUAUCCCCGAGCCCUCCGUAAACACAGUGCCAGAACUUCAGCUCCACUAGGAUGGAAGUGCCACAGGGCAGGCAUUUUCAUUGGUUUUAUUCACCAUCUUCUCCCCCGUUCCCAGAGCAAUGCCUGACAAGUGGUUGGGGCUGGAGAAAUAGUUUUGGAAGGAACAGCUCCUCCAGUACUUUAUCACAGUUGUUUGUCCAUUUGCCUAGACUGUAGUAUCCCUGAAGGCAGGGCCUAUUCUGAUUAAUCACUUUAACCCCAGCACUCAGCAUGGAGACUGGUGCAUAGUAGAUUACAAAUAUUGUGAAAUUUAAUAGAAUACUACACAUGUAUUUUUUUAAAUUACAAUUGAAUGUUUUAUGUAAUGACCUGGAAUAGAUAUCUGAUAUGCACUGCUACAUUAAAAAGCAAUGCAGAAUCAUGGGAAUUAUAUGCUAUAUCUUCUAUAACAGGAGACUCAAAUAAGACUUUAUGUUCAUUUUUGCUUGUACAUAAAGAAAACUCUAGAAGAAUGCACAGGAAGUGGAUAAAAGUGAUUACCUUUCAGAGAGAGACUACGCAAACACAAGACAGGAGAGACAGCAAGACUCUUCUUUGUAUAAUUUUGCAAUUCAAAUUUUGAAUUCUUUGAAUGUAUUAUAUAAUCAAUAAUUUAAAAGAAGGAAAAUGAGUAUUGAUGGAAAAAAAGAACAAACAGGGAGAGAAGCAAAACUCCAACCAGUAUCUGCCUGCCUCCAAUCAGUCACAUCCUACGGCCUAGAAUCCAAGGCUGACAAACGUAGAUUCUGCCACUUAAGAAGCCCUCCCAGCCCACAUGCUCCGGCCGAGAUGCCGAGUCCUCUGGGAUAUGGUGAGAGCCCCUCAGGUUCUCUUGGUUCUCCUGUGUCCUAGAGGAGGAUCCUCUUUACUGGGAUGUUAGCUAGUAACUGAGCAAGUGUUUCCAGUCUCAGACAUUCAGCUCUGGAGAUAAACUAUCAAGUCUGUGCACUGCUUUGGGAAUUUCCCAAGGCUAAUCUCAGGGCUUACCAGUUUAUCAACACCCUGGAACCCCCUUUCCUCACCAAAACAUUGACCCCUGAAAAGAUGCUGCUCUAGCUUAUAAGCUCCAAAGUAAACUGGUGCAAUUAUUUGGGGGCUACAUUGAGUAAGGCACCACAUACAGGCCCUCCAAUCCUACAGUUCUGCCCCUGCACAGGCACAACCCUUCCUGGUGCACCAGAGGACAUAAUCAAGAAUUUUCUCCCAUGGCCGACAUAAUACUAAACAGUAAAAGUCUGAAAGCCCUCCCACUAAAUUCUGGAACGAGACAAGGUUGCUCACUUUAACUACUUCUAUUCGACAUAGUAUUGGAAGUCCUAGCCACAGUAAUCAGACAAGAAAAGAAAAGAAAGGUAUCCAAAUCAGAAGGAAGAAGUAAAAUUCUCAUUAAAUGCAGAUAACAUUAUACACUACAUAGAAAACCCUAAAAACUCCACACCAAAACUAUUCAGUUCAGUUCAGUCACUCAGUCAUAUCCAACUCUUUGCGAUGCCAUGAAUCGCAGCACACCAGGACUCUCUGUCCAUCACAAACUUCCGGAGUUCACCCAAACUCAUGUCCACUGAGUCGGUGUUGCCAUCGAGCCAUCUCAUCCUCUGUCGUCCCCUUCUGCUCCUGCCCCCAAUCCCUCCCAUAAUCAGAGUCUUUUCCAAUGAGUAAACUCUUCGCAUGAGGUGGCCAAAAUAAUGCAGUUUCAGCUUUAGCAUCAUUCCUUCCAAAAAACACCUAGGACUGAUCUCCUUUAGAAUGGCCUGGUUGGAUCUCUUUGCAGUCCAAGGGACUCUCAAGAGUCUUCUCCAACACCACAAUUCAAAAGCAUCAAUUCUUCAGUGCUCAGCUUUCUUCACAGUCCAACUCUCACAUCCAUACAUGACCACUGGAAAAACCAUAGCCUUGACUAGACAGACCUUUGUUGGCAAAGUAAUGUCUCUGCUUUUGAAUAUGCUAUCUAGGUUGGUCAUAACUUUCCUUCCAAGGAGUAAGCAUCUUUUAAUUUCAUGGUUGCAGUCACCAUCUGCAGUGAUUUUGGAGCCCAAAAAAUAAAGUCUGACACUGUUUCCA